Molecule: long non-coding RNA, 1927 nt
Organism: Stylophora pistillata
Lineage: Eukaryota; Metazoa; Cnidaria; Anthozoa; Scleractinia; Pocilloporidae
Source: RefSeq, a predicted model, not a curated record
CUUUUUGACUCGUUUUCAAAAAGAGACAAACAGGGCAUUUUUUAAAAUUAGGAAAUUUUGCCACUGAUGAGUACCUUUUUAUCUUUGAGAUCUUUCAGUCUUUCUAUUAAAAGAGAAUUUUAUAUAUAUCAGCGGGAAUUUAGGAUCGCUAGGGAGUUGCAAAAUGAAAAUAUCAAAAAAAUACUUCAAAUCUUCUACUUUAUUGAUUAUGCAUGCAGCUCGGUUGUCUCACCUUGCCUUCGGUACACCAAAGACGCUGUGGUUUCAGAGUAAAGAGUGAAACAACAGGGCUGGAAGGUUUCUCGCGAAUUGUGGUAAUAAAUGCUUCCUUCGUGGAAGAACUACGUUUAUUGCUUAAAGUUUUCCCACACUUUCCUUUAUGUCAGGUUUUGGCGUGGAAUACAAUGAAAUUACAACAACGCGGUCGUGUAGAUGAGCUGUUAUGGCGAAGACGACUCGACGAACGAAGAAGGACAGCGCCCAUUUCGCUGCAAACUUUCGAGGGUGACUAUUUUGAGAAAAACAGCUGAUUGGUGAGCGGUUUUGUGGUAAAUUUAGAGAGUGAUGUUUGGCUGCCUGCAGUUUGUGUUAAUUACAUGACAACAUGAUGAUGGUCAAGAAAAUAAAAAUGCAAGCAUUGAUAGCAUAAGCUCUAAGCUCCACCUCAGAAGGAAUGCCACUUCUCAGUUGCUGUUUAUGGUAAUCAAGUUGAGAUGUGGAAGAAGAUUGAGUACUCUCUGUGCAAUAAAAGGUAAGUGGGCUCCUGGGUUGGCAUAGAGGAACUGCUCACCACUGGAGAUGGCAGCAUUUUGGUACAAAGACUUGUAGAAUUUAGAGUGGAAAGGAAAUUAUGUGUCAAAGAGAAUUUUAGUGGCAAAUGGCACCUUGAUAAGCCCUUGAGGUCAUGAUUUGGUGAAAAGUUAGCCAGGGAAGCUUGGAGUUAUUUUUGUGAGAAAUGAAAGUCUAUUCUCAUUGUUCAAAGACAGUGCAAUGUAAAAGCUCCAAUAUCAAGUGCAAAUUAGGGUAUAGCAACUCUGGUUUCUUUAGAUUGCAAUGUGAAUAACUCUUGUUUACCUCCAGAAUUGUUAACGUCAUGUACAGUGGGAACUUAAUUGGAAUACUGCAUUUAACACAAAACAGUUUGUUUUUGUUAAGAGGUAAGUACAAAGGGAAGUCUACAGCCUAUGCCUUUGGUAACCUCUCAGCAGGUGUACGAUACCUGCAUGUACAUGUACCUAUCAGGUAACUAUAACUCAAUUGGGUUAUACUCAGUUGUUCACUGCAAAUUGAUGGGGUUUGUAAUUAUUGAGUGCUUGGGAGGCAAGUAUGCAGCCAUGUGUAAGAACUAAUGGCAUGGAUUGGAGUAGUGUGUAAAACAAACAUUGUAGUUCAUUGUGAAAAGAGUAGAUCAACAGGUAUGCUGACCAUGGUGACAUGUUUUUAUCCAAACAGGUGAGAAGCUUGGCAUAUAUUGUGUUUCCCUCCAAGUGAAAGAAGAUUGGUUGCAAGGGAACUAUAAAACUAAACCAAGCAUCAACAGCGAUCAUCAUAAUUUCAAUUGAGAAAUUGUACGUGAUAACUGGACAAAGAAAAUUACAGAAGAUAAGCGUUUGCAAACAGUUUAGUGCUCGUGGUAUCAGUUUUAAGGAAAAGAUGUGCAACAAAAACAAGUGAAGUGAUCUUUAUGGCCUAAAAUUAGAUACGAAGAGUAAAAUAAGAAUAUUCAAUAAAUUUCUAGUUGGUUUCUCUGGAGUGUUGCAAAUUCAAAGGAAGCAUUGAAGGCAAGAAUUCAUUCUAUUGUAAGUAAAGUCGAAUUUUGUCUAAGUCCUACUGUAGUAGUGAAAGCGGAACUGUGGUAUUUUUUUUUUUUGAAAUGUAACUGUAAUAGUAGUCAGAGCAAUGUCGAAUUUUGUCUAAGUCCUACUGU